This 230-nucleotide ribosomal RNA is filed under the name uncultured bacterium. RNAcentral describes it as "partial 16S ribosomal RNA". It matches the Rfam family "Bacterial small subunit ribosomal RNA", at positions 102 to 334 of the family's 1533-position model. The record is from RNAcentral.
ACGGCUGAGUAACGCGUGGGUGACGUACCUAUCGGUGGGGAAUAACUGCCCGAAAGGGUGGCUAAUACCGCAUACGUCCACUCCUUCAGUGGGGUGGGGAAAACCGCAAGGUGUCGAUGGAGCGGCCCGCGUUCGAUUAGCUGGUUGGUGGGGUAACGGCCUACCAAGGCGACGAUCGAUAGCUGGUCUCAGAGGAUGAUCAGCCAGACUGGGACUGAGACACGGCCCAG